Molecule: ribosomal RNA, 495 nt
Filed under: uncultured bacterium
Lineage: Bacteria
Description: partial 16S ribosomal RNA
Rfam family: Bacterial small subunit ribosomal RNA
Source: RNAcentral
AUGAACGCUGGCGGCGUGCCUAAUACAUGCAAGUCGAGCGACAGAUAAGGAGCUUGCUCCUUUGACGUUAGCGGCGGACGGGUGAGUAACACGUGGGUAACCUACCUAUAAGACUGGGAUAACUUCGGGAAACCGGAGCUAAUACCGGAUAACAUUUGGAACCGCAUGGUUCUAAAGUGAAAGAUGGUUUUGCUAUCACUUAUAGAUGGACCCGCGCCGUAUUAGCUAGUUGGUAAGGUAACGGCUUACCAAGGCAACGAUACGUAGCCGACCUGAGAGGGUGAUCGGCCACACUGGAACUGAGACACGGUCCAGACUCCUACGGGAGGCAGCAGUAGGGAAUCUUCCGCAAUGGGCGAAAGCCUGACGGAGCAACGCCGCGUGAGUGAUGAAGGGUUUCGGCUCGUAAAACUCUGUUAUUAGGGAAGAACAAAUGUGUAAGUAACUGUGCACGUCUUGACGGUACCUAAUCAGAAAGCCACGGCUAACUACGUG